CAGAUCAAUUAAGUUUAAUUUGUGGGUCUCUGUUGGUUGGCGUUUCAAACAGCGUGACAGACCUGAUAUACCUGACGGCCGCACAUGUUCGCAACUUAGAGGUAGCAUUCUAUCUGACCGGAAAAGGAUUAUAAAGCCUCAAAAUGAAGCUUUUCUAACACCUUAAUCAAGGAAACCUAUGGGGGGAGCGUUGAGGUUUGGGUAAACGUAUGGAAGUGGGUAUUGACACAGUCCAGCCCAGGCUGGUGAUUCAGAGCGAUGACAUGCAGAUGAAACGGGGCUGUUCGUGGCUAGGUCUGACUUCAAGAAAGAGCUACUAGCUGACAUUGACACAGUGGUCAGACGGGUUACGUAAGCGUGUGCACGAGAGGCCCGCGGCAGCGUGUGUGGGUGUCCCGGAGGAAACCGCAGCUGUGCUAACGCCGCGUCAGGCCCAUGUCACAUUCCACACGUCCACCGCCAUGCUGAUCUGCAGUCGGCCCUGGGUGACAGACGGGAGCUUAGAGGAUGACGUGCCCUUUAGAGGUGGCCCGUCUCAUCCGUCGGAUAACCCUUUCGGUCGGACGCAUUGAAGAAUGCACCGGUAUUGCGUCAGCAUCUGAACACUGCCUGCAGUCAGGCUUUUUUAUGGACAAUGGGGCAGAGGCAGUUAGAAGCUCCGCCUUACCAGGGGAUACAACCGGGGCCUCGGCUAGCGUUCACCGAUUGUAUCUUUUUCGCUGUUCGUCCUACUGGCCACUGAACGGAAAGUCUCUGUUUUGUAGCUAAUGUUCGGCAUGUAUUACCGAAUGCUUUGGUUUCCACUUAACACGUCUACUAUUGGGAAGUUUACAAAUCAGAGCAGUCAUAGUUGCCCCAGUCAGAAAAGAGGUAGUCUGACCAGCCACAUAAGAUGACAAAGUAAUAUUAUGAGCAGGGUCUAGCAGCCUUUAUUUAUUUACUUUUAUUUUGUUGUGCUUUCUCUGUU
Esox lucius (northern pike) is the source of this 967-nucleotide long non-coding RNA. RefSeq lists it as uncharacterized. Lineage: Eukaryota; Metazoa; Chordata; Actinopteri; Esociformes; Esocidae. The record is from RefSeq and is a predicted model, not a curated record. The transcript is spliced from 3 exons.